Molecule: ribosomal RNA, 1291 nt
Filed under: Bacillus subtilis
Lineage: Bacteria; Bacillati; Bacillota; Bacilli; Caryophanales; Bacillaceae
Description: bacterial SSU rRNA
Rfam family: Bacterial small subunit ribosomal RNA
Source: RNAcentral
UGCAAGUCGAGCGGACAGAUGGGAGCUUGCUCCCUGAUGUUAGCGGCGGACGGGUGAGUAACACGUGGGUAACCUGCCUGUAAGACUGGGAUAACUCCGGGAAACCGGGGCUAAUACCGGAUGGUUGUUUGAACCGCAUGGUUCAAACAUAAAAGGUGGCUUCGGCUACCACUUACAGAUGGACCCGCGGCGCAUUAGCUAGUUGGUGAGGUAACGGCUCACCAAGGCGACGAUGCGUAGCCGACCUGAGAGGGUGAUCGGCCACACUGGGACUGAGACACGGCCCAGACUCCUACGGGAGGCAGCAGUAGGGAAUCUUCCGCAAUGGACGAAAGUCUGACGGAGCAACGCCGCGUGAGUGAUGAAGGUUUUCGGAUCGUAAAGCUCUGUUGUUAGGGAAGAACAAGUACCGUUCGAAUAGGGCGGUACCUUGACGGUACCUAACCAGAAAGCCACGGCUAACUACGUGCCAGCAGCCGCGGUAAUACGUAGGUGGCAAGCGUUGUCCGGAAUUAUUGGGCGUAAAGGGCUCGCAGGCGGUUUCUUAAGUCUGAUGUGAAAGCCCCCGGCUCAACCGGGGAGGGUCAUUGGAAACUGGGGAACUUGAGUGCAGAAGAGGAGAGUGGAAUUCCACGUGUAGCGGUGAAAUGCGUAGAGAUGUGGAGGAACACCAGUGGCGAAGGCGACUCUCUGGUCUGUAACUGACGCUGAGGAGCGAAAGCGUGGGGAGCGAACAGGAUUAGAUACCCUGGUAGUCCACGCCGUAAACGAUGAGUGCUAAGUGUUAGGGGGUUUCCGCCCCUUAGUGCUGCAGCUAACGCAUUAAGCACUCCGCCUGGGGAGUACGGUCGCAAGACUGAAACUCAAAGGAAUUGACGGGGGCCCGCACAAGCCGGUGGAGCAUGUGGUUUAAUUCGAAGCAACGCGGAAGAACCUUAUACCCAGGUCUUGACAUCCUCUGACAAUCCUAGAGAUAGGACGUCCCCUUCGGGGGCAGAGUGACAGGUGGUGCAUGGUUGUCGUCAGCUCGUGUCGUGAGAUGUUGGGUUAAGUCCCGCAACGAGCGCAACCCUUGAUCUUAGUUGCCAGCAUUCAGUUGGGCACUCUAAGGUGACUGCCGGUGACAAACCGGAGGAAGGUGGGGAUGACGUCAAAUCAUCAUGCCCCUUAUGACCUGGGCUACACACGUGCUACAAUGGACAGAACAAAGGGCAGCGAAACCGCGAGGUUAAGCCAAUCCCACAAAUCUGUUCUCAGUUCGGAUCGCAGUCUGCAACUCGACUGCGUGAAG